UGACUGCGUACCUUUUGUAUAAUGGGUCAGCGACUUAUAUUCUGUAGCAAGGUUAACCGAAUAGGGGAGCCGAAGGGAAACCGAGUCUUAACUGGGCGUUAAGUUGCAGGGUAUAGACCCGAAACCCGGUGAUCUAGCCAUGGGCAGGUUGAAGGUUGGGUAACACUAACUGGAGGACCGAACCGACUAAUGUUGAAAAAUUAGCGGAUGACUUGUGGCUGGGGGUGAAAGGCCAAUCAAACCGGGAGAUAGCUGGUUCUCCCCGAAAGCUAUUUAGGUAGCGCCUCGUGAAUUCAUCUCCGGGGGUAGAGCACUGUUUCGGCAAGGGGGUCAUCCCGACUUACCAACCCGAUGCAAACUGCGAAUACCGGAGAAUGUUAUCACGGGAGACACACGGCGGGUGCUAACGUCCGUCGUGAAGAGGGAAACAACCCAGACCGCCAGCUAAGGUCCCAAAGUCAUGGUUAAGUGGGAAACGAUGUGGGAAGGCCCAGACAGCCAGGAUGUUGGCUUAGAAGCAGCCAUCAUUUAAAGAAAGCGUAAUAGCUCACUGGUCGAGUCGGCCUGCGCGGAAGAUGUAACGGGGCUAAACCAUGCACCGAAGCUGCGGCAGCGACGCUGAUGCGUUGUUGGGUAGGGGAGCGUUCUGUAAGCCUGCGAAGGUGUGCUGUGAGGCAUGCUGGAGGUAUCAGAAGUGCGAAUGCUGACAUAAGUAACGAUAAAGCGGGUGAAAAGCCCGCUCGCCGGAAGACCAAGGGUUCCUGUCCAACGUUAAUCGGGGCAGGGUGAGUCGACCCCUAAGGCGAGGCCGAAAGGCGUAGUCGAUGGGAAACAGGUUAAUAUUCCUGUACUUGGUGUUACUGCGAAGGGGGGACGGAGAAGGCUAUGUUGGCCGGGCGACGGUUGUCCCGGUUUAAGCGUGUAGGCUGGUUUUCCAGGCAAAUCCGGAAAAUCAAGGCUGAGGCGUGAUGACGAGGCACUGCGGUGCUGAAGCAACAAAUGCCCUGCUUCCAGGAAAAGCCUCUAAGCAUCAGGUAACAUCAAAUCGUACCCCAAACCGACACAGGUGGUCAGGUAGAGAAUACCAAGGCGCUUGAGAGAACUCGGGUGAAGGAACUAGGCAAAAUGGUGCCGUAACUUCGGGAGAAGGCACGCUGAUAUGUAGGUGAAGUCCCUCGCGGAUGGAGCUGAAAUCAGUCGAAGAUACCAGCUGGCUGCAACUGUUUAUUAAAAACACAGCACUGUGCAAACACGAAAGUGGACGUAUACGGUGUGACGCCUGCCCGGUGCCGGAAGGUUAAUUGAUGGGGUUAGCGCAAGCGAAGCUCUUGAUCGAAGCCCCGGUAAACGGCGGCCGUAACUAUAACGGUCCUAAGGUAGCGAAAUUCCUUGUCGGGUAAGUUCCGACCUGCACGAAUGGCGUAAUGAUGGCCAGGCUGUCUCCACCCGAGACUCAGUGAAAUUGAACUCGCUGUGAAGAUGCAGUGUACCCGCGGCAAGACGGAAAGACCCCGUGAACCUUUACUAUAGCUUGACACUGAACAUUGAGCCUUGAUGUGUAGGAUAGGUGGGAGGCUUUGAAGUGUGGACGCCAGUCUGCAUGGAGCCGACCUUGAAAUACCACCCUUUAAUGUUUGAUGUUCUAACGUUGACCCGUAAUCCGGGUUGCGGACAGUGUCUGGUGGGUAGUUUGACUGGGGCGGUCUCCUCCUAAAGAGUAACGGAGGAGCACGAAGGUUGGCUAAUCCUGGUCGGACAUCAGGAGGUUAGUGCAAUGGCAUAAGCCAGCUUGACUGCGAGCGUGACGGCGCGAGCAGGUGCGAAAGCAGGUCAUAGUGAUCCGGUGGUUCUGAAUGGAAGGGCCAUCGCUCAACGGAUAAAAGGUACUCCGGGGAUAACAGGCUGAUACCGCCCAAGAGUUCAUAUCGACGGCGGUGUUUGGCACCUCGAUGUCGGCUCAUCACAUCCUGGGGCUGAAGUAGGUCCCAAGGGUAUGGCUGUUCGCCAUUUAAAGUGGUACGCGAGCUGGGUUUAGAACGUCGUGAGACAGUUCGGUCCCUAUCUGCCGUGGGCGCUGGAGAACUGAGGGGGGCUGCUCCUAGUACGAGAGGACCGGAGUGGACGCAUCACUGGUGUUCGGGUUGUCAUGCCAAUGGCACUGCCCGGUAGCUAAAUGCGGAAGAGAUAAGUGCUGAAAGCAUCUAAGCACGAAACUUGCC
This 2219-nucleotide ribosomal RNA is filed under the name Escherichia coli. RNAcentral describes it as "partial 23S ribosomal RNA". It matches the Rfam family "Bacterial large subunit ribosomal RNA", at positions 594 to 2798 of the family's 2925-position model. Lineage: Bacteria; Pseudomonadati; Pseudomonadota; Gammaproteobacteria; Enterobacterales; Enterobacteriaceae. The record is from RNAcentral.